Molecule: transfer RNA, 73 nt
Filed under: Bos taurus (domestic cattle)
Lineage: Eukaryota; Metazoa; Chordata; Mammalia; Artiodactyla; Bovidae
Also listed under: 5 other names
Rfam family: tRNA
About the family: Transfer RNA (tRNA) molecules are approximately 80 nucleotides in length. Their secondary structure includes four short double-helical elements and three loops (D, anti-codon, and T loops).
Source: Rfam by way of RNAcentral
UCCCUGGUGGUCCAGUGGCUAAGACUCCAUGCUUCCAAUGCAGCAGGUCUGGGUUCAAUUCCUGGUCAGGGAA